Molecule: small nucleolar RNA, 118 nt
Organism: Dermochelys coriacea (leatherback sea turtle)
Lineage: Eukaryota; Metazoa; Chordata; Testudines; Dermochelyidae
Source: RefSeq, a predicted model, not a curated record
UUGCACUGUUCGUAACCUGUUGACAGUAUCUUUCUGCUGAUGGGUUCCAUUCCAGUGCUACAUAAAUCACCAAAGUAAGAGAAGGCUGGCUGGCUGUUCUUUAUUUUGGGGGACAUAA